AUUGAACGCUGGCGGCAUGCUUUACACAUGCAAGUCGAACGGUAACAGGUUAAGCUGACGAGUGGCGAACGGGUGAGUAAUGCAUCGGAACGUGCCCGGUCGUGGGGGAUAACGCAGCGAAAGCUGCGCGAAUACCGCAUACGAUCUGAGGAUGAAAGCGGGGGACAGUAAGGCCUCGCGCGAUCGAAGCGGCUGAUGUCAGAUUAGGUAGUUGGUGAGGUAAAGGCUCACAAAGCCAACGAUCUGUAGCUGGUCUGAGAGGACGACACAGCCACACUGGGACUGAGACACGGCCCAGACUCCUACGGGAGGCAUCAGUGGGGAAUUUUGGACAAUGGGCGAAAGCCUGAUCCAGCAAUGCCGCGUGCAGGAAGAAGGCCUUCGGGUUGUAAACUGCUUUUGUACGGAGCGAAAAGGUCUCCUCUAAUACAGGGGGCUCAUGACGGUACCGUAAGAAUAAGCACCGGCUAACUACGUGCCAGCAGCCGCCGUAA
Molecule: ribosomal RNA, 494 nt
Filed under: uncultured bacterium
Lineage: Bacteria
Description: partial 16S ribosomal RNA
Rfam family: Bacterial small subunit ribosomal RNA
Source: RNAcentral